AUUGAACGCUGGCGGCAGGCUUAACACAUGCAAGUCGAGCGGUAACAGAGAUAGCUUGCUAUCUGCUGACGAGCGGCGGACGGGUGAGUAACGCGUAGGAAACUACCCGGUAGUGGGGGACAACCGUUGGAAACGACGGCUAAUACCGCAUACGCUCUACGGAGGAAAGGGGGCUUCGGCUCUCGCUAUCGGAUGUGCCUGCGUGAGAUUAGCUAGUUGGUGGGGUAAAAGCCUACCAAGGCGACGAUCUCUAGCUGGUCUGAGAGGAUGAUCAGCCACACUGGGACUGAGACACGGCCCAGACUCCUACGGGAGGCAGCAGUGGGGAAUAUUGGACAAUGGGCGCAAGCCUGAUCCAGCCAUGCCGCGUGUGUGAAGAAGGCUUUCGGGUUGUAAAGCACUUUCAUCAGUGAGGAAAGGGUAGUAGUUAAUACCUGCUAUCUGUGACGUUAACUGAAGAAGAAGCACCGGCUAACUCCGUGCC
RNAcentral lists this ribosomal RNA (484 nucleotides) under uncultured Thalassolituus sp. Its description in RNAcentral is "bacterial SSU rRNA". It matches the Rfam family "Bacterial small subunit ribosomal RNA", at positions 30 to 509 of the family's 1533-position model. The record is from RNAcentral. Lineage: Bacteria; Pseudomonadati; Pseudomonadota; Gammaproteobacteria; Oceanospirillales; Oceanospirillaceae.